RNAcentral lists this ribosomal RNA (225 nucleotides) under uncultured Exiguobacterium sp. Its description in RNAcentral is "partial 16S ribosomal RNA". It matches the Rfam family "Bacterial small subunit ribosomal RNA", at positions 568 to 792 of the family's 1533-position model. Lineage: Bacteria; Bacillati; Bacillota; Bacilli; Caryophanales. The record is from RNAcentral.
CGCGCAGGCGGCCUUUUAAGUCUGAUGUGAAAGCCCCCGGCUCAACCGGGGAGGGCCAUUGGAAACUGGAAGGCUUGAGUACAGAAGAGAAGAGUGGAAUUCCACGUGUAGCGGUGAAAUGCGUAGAUAUUAGGAGGAACACCAGUGGCGAAGGCGACUUACUGGACAGAUACUGACGCUGAGGCGCGAAAGCGUGGGGAGCAAACAGGAUUAGAUACCCCUGUA